RNAcentral lists this ribosomal RNA (465 nucleotides) under uncultured bacterium. RNAcentral's name for it is "partial 16S ribosomal RNA". It matches the Rfam family "Bacterial small subunit ribosomal RNA", at positions 28 to 507 of the family's 1533-position model. The record is from RNAcentral.
GACGAACGCUGGCGGCGUGCUUAACACAUGCAAGUCGAACGGAAAGGCCCUGCUUGCAGGGUACUCGAGUGGCGAACGGGUGAGUAACACGUGGGUGAUCUGCCCUGCACUUCGGGAUAAGCCUGGGAAACUGGGUCUAAUACCGGAUAGGAGCCAUUUUUAGUGUGAUGGUUGGAAAGUUUUUUCGGUGUAGGAUGAGCUCGCGGCCUAUCAGCUUGUUGGUGGGGUAAUGGCCUACCAAGGCGGCGACGGGUAGCCGGCCUGAGAGGGUGGACGGCCACAUUGGGACUGAGAGACGGCCCAGACUCCUACGGGAGGCAGCAGUGGGGAAUAUUGCACAAUGGGCACAAGCCUGAUGCAGCGACGCCGCGGGGGGGAUGACGGCCUUCGGGUUGUAAACUCCUUUCGCUAGGGACGAAGCUUUUUGUGACGGUACCUAGAGAAGAAGCACCGGCUAACUACGUG